GCCCAGAGACCGAUAGCGCACAAGUAGAGUGAUCGAAAGAUGAAAAGCACUUUGAAAAGAGAGUUAAACAGUAUGUGAAAUUGUUGAAAGGGAAGCGCUUGCAACCAGACUUGAGUAUCGCGGUUCCCCCUUGCUUUUGCUUGGGCUACUCCGUUUUAUCCAGGCCAACAUCGGUUCUAGGGGUUGGUUAAAGGCCUUAGGAAUGUAUCUACCUCCGGGUAGACUUAUAGCCUAGGGUGUCAUGCAACCUCCCGGGACCGAGGAACGCGCUUCGGCGAGGAUGUUGGCGUAAUGGUUGUAAGCGACCCGUCUUGAAACACGGACCAAGGAGUCUAACAUCUAUGCGAGUGUUUGGGUGUCAACCCCUACGCGGAAUGAAAGUGAACGGAGGUAGGAAGCCUCAAGGCUGCNCUAUCGACCGAUCCUGAUAUUUAUGGAUGGAUUUGAGUAAGAGCAUAGCUGUUGGGACCCGAAAGAUGGUGAACUAUGCCUGAAUAGGGUGAAGCCAGAGGAAACUCUGGUGGAGGCUCGCAGCGGUUCUGACGUGCAAAUCGAUCGUCAAAUUUGGGUAUAGGGGCGAAAGACUAAUCGAACCAUUGAACAAAUAGCUACCUAGGUGGUUAAGUGUAGCCAGAAUCUGGUUGCAAGUGCCUAUUAUUCGGGUGCAAUACUGUCAAAUUGCGGGAACGUCCUAAAGCUUUAGCGACCGCCUUCACCUGUGAAAACAGAUUCGGGCACCAGGUCAACGACCUCGGGUGUGGUAAUACUGCUAAAGAUGCUACAAUGGAUGACCUGCAGCCAAUUCCUAAAGCCUCUAGGCUACGGAUGCAGUCCACAGACUAAAUGGCAGUAGGCUCUACUGAGUCUAAGUUAUAGUCGGUCCUCUGAAGAAAUUCAGGCGUACGCGCAAAAGCUGUAGUUAAGAAUAGGCUUGAGGCAUAACUACAGCCCCGAACGCUGCGGGCAUUUCUAGAAAUGUCGGAUUAAACGCUGGUAGCUGGUUCCUGCCGAAGUUUCCCUCAGGAUAGCAGUAACGUUUUCAGUUUUAUGAGGUAAAGCGAAUGAUUAGAGGCCUUGGGGUUGAAACAACCUUAACCUAUUCUCAAACUUUAAAUAUGUAAGAAGCCCUUGUUGCUUAAUUGAACGUGGGCAUUUGAAUGUAUCGUUACUAGUGGGCCAUUUUUGGUAAGCAGAACUGGCGAUGCGGGAUGAACCGAACGGGAGGUUAAGGUGCCGGAGUGCACGCUCAUCAGACACCACAAAAGGUGUCAAUGCAUCUAGACAGCCGGACGGUGGCCAUGGAAGUCGGAAUCCGCUUAGGAGUGUGUAACAACUCACCGGCCGAAUGCAUUGGCCCUGAAAAUGGAUGGCGCUUAAGCGU
RNAcentral lists this ribosomal RNA (1381 nucleotides) under Herpotrichiellaceae sp. A561. RNAcentral describes it as "LSU rRNA". It matches the Rfam family "Eukaryotic large subunit ribosomal RNA", at positions 325 to 1336 of the family's 3401-position model. The record is from RNAcentral. Lineage: Eukaryota; Fungi; Ascomycota; Eurotiomycetes; Chaetothyriales; Herpotrichiellaceae.